ACUUUGACAGGUCAUCUGAAACUUUGGGGGCUUGAGUAUCAGAGGGGAAAGUGGAAUUCCUAGUGGAGCGGUAAAAUGCACAGAGAUUAGGAGGAACACCGGUGGCGAAGGCGACUUUCUGGCUGACAACUGACGCUGAGGCGCGAAAGCGUGGGGAGCAAACAGGAUUAGAUACCCUGGUAGUCCACGCCGUAAACGAUGAUUACUGGGUGUAGGGAGUAUCGACUCUCUCUGUGCCGAAGCAAACGCGAUAAGUAAUCCACCUGGGGAGUACGGCCGCAAGGCUAAAACUCAAAGGAAUUGACGGGGACCCGCACAAGCAGUGGAGUAUGUGGUUUAAUUCGAGGCAACGCGAAGAACCUUACCAGGGAUUGACAUCCUGCGCUAGGCCUGGAGACAGGUUGUUCCUUCGGGACGCAGAGACAGGUGGUGCAUGGUUGUCGUCAGCUCGUGUCGUGAGAUGUUCGGUUAAGUCCGGCAACGAGCGCAACCCUUGUUGUCAGUUACCAUCAUUAAGUUGGGGACUUUGGCGAGACUGCCGUUGACAAAACGGAGGAAGGUGGGGAUGACGUCAAAUCAUCAUGCCCCUUAUAUCCUGGGCUACACACGUACUACAAUGGGCGUUACAGCGGGCAGCCACACCGCGAGGUGGAGCGAAUCCCGAAAGGCGUCCUCAGUUCGGAUUGCAGGCUGCAACUCGCCUGCAUGAAGUCGGAAUUGCUAGUAAUGGCAGGUCAGCAUACUGCCGUGAAUACGUUCCCGGGUCUUGUACACACCGCCCGUCACACCAUGAGAGUCUGUAACACCCGAAGUCAGUAGUCUAACCUGAUUAGAUUAGGGGGACGCUGCCGAAGGUGGGAUAGAUAAUUGGGGUGAAGUCGUAACAAGGUAACCGUA
Molecule: ribosomal RNA, 897 nt
Filed under: uncultured bacterium
Lineage: Bacteria
Description: bacterial SSU rRNA
Rfam family: Bacterial small subunit ribosomal RNA
Source: RNAcentral